AAGGCAUGAGCUCUAGGAAAGAUCAGCGCUCACGAGCAAAGACCGCUCCUACUCACCUUAGAUUCGGGGGACGGGUCCGGACUUCUGAAAACUAACUAAGGAAAAAGGAAAAGGACUUAGGCUCGGGGACUCUGGCUAGCGCAAUAACUUUAUAUAGCUUACCCGACCUCGCGCUGCUGAGGUCGGAUCGGCAUAAGGAAAAAGAAAAACACUUAGGAAAAAAGCUUAAUAUCUACAUUCGACAUUAACAUUGUAUAUAUGAUACAAGGCCUACUGGCCUCAACACCCACAAAAAGAAAAAAGAAAACUAAGGUUCCUGCUACCCUGUCUCUCUAGGUCCUUGAACCCCGAGGGGGGGAAGCUCCACCUCAUCGUCGAAGAAGGCGAACAAGGCAUCUCCGGGGACAGCCGCGGCGUCCUCAAGCCUCUGCACCUCCUCCUGGGCCUCCGUUUCGUCAUCAGGGAGGACGUAGCCCUCACAGACC
RNAcentral lists this long non-coding RNA (485 nucleotides) under Sorghum bicolor (sorghum). RNAcentral's name for it is "long non-coding RNA (SBIC_LNC004379)". The record is from RNAcentral. Lineage: Eukaryota; Viridiplantae; Streptophyta; Magnoliopsida; Poales; Poaceae.